GGGGGGUAAGCUUCAUUGUCGAGAGGGAAACAGCCCAGACUACCAGUUAAGGCCCCUAAAUAUUUACUAAGUGGUAAAGGAUGUAAUAGUACAUAGACAACCAGGAGGUUUGCCUAGAAGCAGCCACCCUUUAAAAAGUGCGUAAUAGCUUACUGGUCAAGUGCUUUUGCGCCGAAAAUGAAUGGGACUAAGUAUUUUGCCGAAACUGUAGGAUAAAAAUCGGUAGAAGAGCGUUCUGUAUUGGUUUGAAGCAAUAAUGAAAAUAGUUGUGGACUAAGCAGAAGUGAGAAUGUCGGCUUAAGUAACGAAAACAUUGGUGGAAAUCCAAUGCCCCGAAAGCCUAAGGUUUCCUUCGCAAGGCUCGUCCACGAAGGGUUAGUCAGGUCCUAAAACAAGGUUAAAAAACGUAGUUGAUGGAUAACAGGUUAAUAUUCCUGUACCAUGUUUUAUUUGUUGAAAGUGACGAAGAAGGCUAUGUCAGCCAUAGAAUGGUUGUUUUGGUUUAAUCUUUCGAGAUGUUGAGAGGUAGAAAUAAAAAAUACCUUGAGUUGAGAAGAGAGUACGAAUAGCAUUACGGUGCUUAAAGUGACUUAUGUCAUGCUUCCAAGAAAAGCUUUUAUAACGUGUAGUAAAACAUGCCUGUACCUUAAACUGACACAGGUAGGCUAGUAGAGAAUACUAAGGGGCGCGAGAUAACUCUUUCUAAGGAACUCGGCAAAAUGACUCUGUAACUUCGGGAGAAAGAGUGCCUCUUAAAAAGAGGUCGCAGUAAUCAGACUCAAGCGACUGUUUACCAAAAACACAGGUCUCCGCUAAGUUGUAAAACUAUGUAUGGGGGCUGACGCCUGCCCAGUGCCGGAAGGUUAAAAAAAUUGGUUAGCGUAAGCGAAGCUGGUAAUUGAAGCCCUGGUGAACGGCGGCCGUAACUAUAACGGUCCUAAGGUAGCGAAAUUCCUUGUCGGGUAAGUUCCGACCCGCACGAAAGGCGUAACGAUUUGAGUACUGUCUCAGAAAGAGACUCGGUGAAAUAGAAUUGACUGUGAAGAUGCGGUCUACUUGCACUUGGACAGAAAGACCCUAUGAAGCUUUACUGUAACUUGAAAUUGGUUUUGGACUUUCUUUGCGCAGUAUAGGUGGGAGGCUGUGAACCUCUUUUUCGGAAGAUGGGGAGCCACAAUAUGAGAUACCACUCUGAGAAAGUUAGGAAUCUAAUGGCAUUAUUUUAUCAAGAUGUUUGACAGUUUCAGGCGGGCAGUUUUACUGGGGCGGUAGCCUCCUAAAAGGUAACGGAGGCGUACAAAGGUUUUCUCAGUCUGGACGGAAAUUAGUUGAAGAGUGUAAAGACAUAAGAAAGCUUGACUGUGAGACCUACAAGUCGAACAGAGACUAAAGUCGGUCUUAGUGAUCCGACGGUGCUGUGUGGAAAGGCCGUCGCUUAACGGAUAAAAGUUACUCUAGGGAUAACAGGCUGAUCUCCCCCAAGAGUUCACAUCGACGGGGAGGUUUGGCACCUCGAUGUCGGCUCAUCGCAGCCUGGGGCGGUAGUACGUCCCAAGGGUUGGGCUGUUCGCCCAUUAAAGCGGUACGUGAGCUGGGUUCAGAACGUCGAGAGACAGUUCGGUCCAUAUCCGGUGUGAGUGAUAGAGUAUUGAAAGGAGCUUUCCUUAGUACGAGAGGACCGGGAAGGACACACCACUGAUGUACCAGUUUUUGUGCCAACAGAAGACGCUGGGUAGUCAAGUGUGGAGUGGAUAACUGCUGAAA
RNAcentral lists this ribosomal RNA (1764 nucleotides) under Trachelomonas conspersa. RNAcentral's name for it is "LSU rRNA". It matches the Rfam family "Bacterial large subunit ribosomal RNA", at positions 993 to 2776 of the family's 2925-position model. The record is from RNAcentral. Lineage: Eukaryota; Euglenozoa; Euglenophyceae; Euglenales; Euglenaceae.